This 275-nucleotide long non-coding RNA is filed under the name Jatropha curcas. RNAcentral describes it as "long non-coding RNA (JCUR_LNC000617)". Lineage: Eukaryota; Viridiplantae; Streptophyta; Magnoliopsida; Malpighiales; Euphorbiaceae. The record is from RNAcentral.
UAAUUGGAAAGGAUUAAAUGGUACUUAAUGGUAGAACUUGAUGAUAAUCGAAAACCUCCUUGAAUUGGUAGCAACCAUCUUAUCUAAUUAUAAACUUCUUCCAUGAUUAUUGGAGCAAUGAUAUUAAUAUUUGGAAUUUAUGGAAAAUGGAUGAGUCAGCAUGUAGGUUUUGAAUUUUGAAAUACGGAUUCUAAAUUGGGAUAGUAGUAAAUUUGAAUAUGUGGAUUCUUGUAUCAGAAGACUUAAUACUUGGUUUGUGUAUGAGCGUCUUAUUG